Molecule: transfer RNA, 73 nt
Filed under: bacterium
Lineage: Bacteria
Also listed under: 1 other name
Description: tRNA-Asn
Rfam family: tRNA
About the family: Transfer RNA (tRNA) molecules are approximately 80 nucleotides in length. Their secondary structure includes four short double-helical elements and three loops (D, anti-codon, and T loops).
Source: RNAcentral
UCCCCGAUAGCUCAAUAGGUAGAGCGGGCGGCUGUUAACCGCCAGGUCGUAGGUUCGAGCCCUACUCGGGGAG